This 224-nucleotide long non-coding RNA is filed under the name Elaeis guineensis (African oil palm). Its description in RNAcentral is "long non-coding RNA (EGUI_LNC059450)". Lineage: Eukaryota; Viridiplantae; Streptophyta; Magnoliopsida; Arecales; Arecaceae. The record is from RNAcentral.
CUCUGCUUUCUAAUUGCUUGGUAGUCCAGUCUUCAUCUCUAUGAAGACUUCUACGAAUGCUCCAUCUUUCGAAAAUAGAAAGAAAUAAUUUCUAUCUAUUUUUAAAUAAAAUUUUUUAUCAUUAAUUUUACAUCAACAUGUAAAAGUCUCAAUCAAUAGUUGGAAACAUUACAAAGGAAGGAUGAGUAAGGUCUAGCUGAAAAUAUAAUGCAUCAAAGGCACCC